This 489-nucleotide ribosomal RNA is filed under the name uncultured bacterium. RNAcentral's name for it is "partial 16S ribosomal RNA". It matches the Rfam family "Bacterial small subunit ribosomal RNA", at positions 30 to 507 of the family's 1533-position model. The record is from RNAcentral.
UUGAACGCUGGCGGCAGGCCUAACACAUGCAAGUCGAAUGGUAACAGGAAACAGCUUGCUGUUUCGCUGACGAGUGGCGGACGGGUGAGUAAUGUCUGGGAAACUGCCUGAUGGAGAGGGAUAACUACUGGAAACGGUAGCUAAUACCGCAUAACGUCGCAAGACCAAAGAGGGGGACCUUCGGGCCUCUUGCCAUCAGAUGUGCCCAGAUGGGAUUAGCUAGUAGGUGGGGUAACGGCUCACCUAGGCGACGAUCCCUAGCUGGUCUGAGAGGAUGACCAGCCACACUGGAACUGAGACACGGUCCAGACUCCUACGGGAGGCAGCAGUGGGGAAUAUUGCACAAUGGGCGCAAGCCUGAUGCAGCCAUGCCGCGUGUAUGAAGAAGGCCUUCGGGUUGUAAAGUACUUUCAGCGGGGAGGAAGGGAGUAAAGUUAAUACCUUUGCUCAUUGACGUUACCCGCAGAAGAAGCACCGGCUAACUCCGUG